RNAcentral lists this ribosomal RNA (931 nucleotides) under Campylobacter hominis. RNAcentral's name for it is "bacterial LSU rRNA". It matches the Rfam family "Bacterial large subunit ribosomal RNA", at positions 1123 to 1927 of the family's 2925-position model. Lineage: Bacteria; Pseudomonadati; Campylobacterota; Epsilonproteobacteria; Campylobacterales; Campylobacteraceae. The record is from RNAcentral.
UUAAAGAUAGCGUAAUAGCUCACUGGUCUAGUGAUUUUGCGCGGAAAAUAUAACGGGGCUAAAAUAAGUACCGAAGUCGUAGACUUGCACACAACUUAGUUCUUUAUAAAACAAAGCGUAUAAGUUAUAUUUAAAACUAGCGAUAGCGUUUUUGCAAAGCAAAAAGUUUUAAAAUAUCUUAAGCUAAAAGAGUUAAGUUGUGUGCAAGUGGUAGAAGAGCGUUGUAUUUAGCAUUGAAGGCGUACCGGUAAGGAGCGCUGGAGCAUAUACAAGUGAGCAUGCAGGCAUGAGUAGCGAUAAUUAAUGUAAGAAUCAUUAACGCCGAAAACCCAAGGUUUCCUACGCGAUGCUCGUCAUCGUAGGGUUAGUCGGGUCCUAAGCAAAGUCCGAAAGGGGUAUGCGAUGGAAAAUCGGUUAAUAUUCCGAUACCAACAUUAUUGUGCGAUGGAAGGACGCUUAAAGUUAAUGGGGCUAAGUGAUGGAAUACUUAGUCUAAGGAUGUAGGUUAAGUUGUAGGCAAAUCCGCAACUUUUCAUCCGAGAUCCGAAAGGCUUACAAAACUCUUCGGAGUAGCGUAAGAACCCAUGAUACUAUAGAGCCGAGAAAAGUUUCUAAGUUUAGAUAAUGUUGCCCGUACCGUAAACCGACACAGGUGGGUGGGAUGAGUAUUCUAAGGCGCGUGGAAGAACUCUCUUUAAGGAACUCUGCAAAAUAGCACCGUAUCUUCGGUAUAAGGUGUGCCUAACUUUGUGAAAGAUUUACUCUAUAAGCAAAGAAGGUUACAACAAAGAGUCCCUCCCGACUGUUUACCAUAAACACAGCACUCUGCUAACACGUAAGUGGAUGUAUAGGGUGUGACGCCUGCCCGGUGCUCGAAGUUAAUUGAUGAUGUCAGGAGUAAUCCGAAGCAUUUGAUCGAAGCCCGAGUAAA